GACGAACGCUGGCGGCGUGCCUAAUACAUGCAAGUAGGACGCAGUUGCGAACGGGUGAGUAAAGCGUAGGUAACUACCUAAAAGAGGGGGAUAACGAUUGGAAACGAUAGCUAAUACCGCAUACUAGUAAAUGGACCUGCGUUGUAUUAGCUAGUAGGUAGGGUAAUGGCCUACCGAGGCAACGAUACAUAGACGACCUGAGAUGGUGAUCUGCCACACUGGGACUGAGACACGGCCCAGACUCCUCCUGGAGGCAGCCGUAGGUAAUCUUCGGCAAUGGGGGGAACCCUGACCCAGCAACGCCGCGUGAUUGAAGAAGUUUUUCGGAUCGUAAAGCUCUGUUGUUAAGGAAGCGUUACUUAACCAGAAAGGGACGGCUAACUACGUGCCAGCAGCCGCGGUAAUAC
Molecule: ribosomal RNA, 407 nt
Filed under: uncultured bacterium
Lineage: Bacteria
Description: partial 16S ribosomal RNA
Rfam family: Bacterial small subunit ribosomal RNA
Source: RNAcentral